Molecule: transfer RNA, 72 nt
Filed under: Camelus ferus (Wild Bactrian camel)
Lineage: Eukaryota; Metazoa; Chordata; Mammalia; Artiodactyla; Camelidae
Rfam family: tRNA
About the family: Transfer RNA (tRNA) molecules are approximately 80 nucleotides in length. Their secondary structure includes four short double-helical elements and three loops (D, anti-codon, and T loops). Further hydrogen bonds mediate the characteristic L-shaped molecular structure. tRNAs have two regions of fundamental functional importance: the anti-codon, which is responsible for specific mRNA codon recognition, and the 3' end, to which the tRNAs corresponding amino acid is attached (by aminoacyl-tRNA synthetases). tRNAs cope with the degeneracy of the genetic code in two manners: having more than one tRNA (with a specific anti-codon) for a particular amino acid; and 'wobble' base-pairing, i.e. permitting non-standard base-pairing at the 3rd anti-codon position.
Source: Rfam by way of RNAcentral
GAGGGUACAGCUCAGUGGGAGCGCACAUGCUUAGCAUGCAUGAGGUCCUGGGUUCAAUCCCCGGUACCCACA